AUGACCUAUGACCUCUGGAAUGACCUUUACACCUCUAAUGAAGUUCACAAAUCUGAACCAACAGCAACCAUGAGCUUCAUCUUCAUCAUCUUCAUCUGGAUGUUCUCCAGCUGUUUCACAGAAUCAGUUGGUGAAAUGACAGUCACUCAGACGCCUGCAGUGAAACCUGUUCAUCUCAGAGACACAGUUACUAUAUCCUGUAAAACCAGUCCUGAAGUUUACCAGGGUUGGAGUGUUCAGCCUCUAUCCUGGUACUUACAGAAACCUGGAGAAGCUCCUAAACUCCUGAUUUAUGCAGCAGACAGCCUCCAGUCAGGAACUCCAUCUAGAUUCAGUGGCAGUGGAUCUAACAGUGAUUUCACUCUGAGCAUCAGUGGAGUCCAGACUGAAGAUGCUGGACAUUAUUACUGUCAGAGUUUACAUUGCAGACCAGAUUCUGAUGGUGAUUGUGUGGGUGAUUUUGUGUUCACACAGUGAUAAAGAGUCGUACAAAAACCUCGGUCAGUCAGAGUCACAGUGACUGAACUGAAACUGCAGCUGCUCAAACACACACACACACACACACACACACACACACACACACACACACACACACACACACACACACACACACACACAC
Rhinichthys klamathensis goyatoka is the source of this 619-nucleotide non-coding RNA. NCBI's taxonomy places the organism in Eukaryota, Metazoa, Chordata, Actinopteri, Cypriniformes, Leuciscidae. The record is from the annotation of a RefSeq genome assembly.